GAGGGGAGGGAGCCACCAGACUGUGCCUGCUUUGGGUCCAUCAGAGCCCUCCCAGAGCUGAAAAAAAAGGGUGACAUGCUUGAGGAAGAGUGAUGAAUAAUACUGAGGAUGAUUCAACGUCUCUUGGUUUUACUUCUGCACCACCCAAAGAGAAAAUAACAGGUGGAGAGAGCAGGAUCCAUCUACGAGAUUUCUGUGCCGUCCCCCUUCACCGAAGCAACAGCAGGUCAUAUCUGAAUGCAGAAGCAAGAC
This 252-nucleotide long non-coding RNA is filed under the name Macaca nemestrina (pig-tailed macaque). Its description in RNAcentral is "lncRNA (ENSMNEG00000045630.1)". The record is from RNAcentral. Lineage: Eukaryota; Metazoa; Chordata; Mammalia; Primates; Cercopithecidae.